CCUACGGGUGGCUGCAGUGGGGAAUAUUGGACAAUGGGGGGAACCCUGAUCCAGCCAUGCCGCGUGUGUGAAGAAGGCCCUCGGGUUGUAAAGCACUUUCAGUGAGGAAGAACGCCUGGUGGUUAAUACCCAUCAGGAAAGACAUCACUCACAGAAGAAGCACCGGCUAACUCCGUGCAGCAGCCGCGGUAAUACGGAGGGUGCGAGCGUUAAUCGGAAUUACUGGGCGUAAAGCGCGCGUAGGUGGCUUGAUAAGCCGGUUGUGAAAGCCCCGGGCUCAACCUGGGAACGGCAUCCGGAACUGUCAAGCUAGAGUGCAGGAGAGGAAGGUAGAAUUCCCGGUGGAGCGGUGAAAUGCGUAGAGAUCGGGAGGAAUACCAGUGGCGAAGGCGGCCUUCUGGACUGACACUGACACUGAGGUGCGAAAGCGUGGGUAGCAAACAGGAUUAGAUACCCGUGUAGUC
This 464-nucleotide ribosomal RNA is filed under the name Vreelandella stevensii. RNAcentral describes it as "partial 16S ribosomal RNA". It matches the Rfam family "Bacterial small subunit ribosomal RNA", at positions 338 to 795 of the family's 1533-position model. The record is from RNAcentral. Lineage: Bacteria; Pseudomonadati; Pseudomonadota; Gammaproteobacteria; Oceanospirillales; Halomonadaceae.